CAGCACCUCAAGUGGUCAGGAUGAUUAUUGGGCCUAAAGCAUCCGUAGCUGGCUCUGUAAGUUUUCGGUUAAAUCUGUACGCUCAACGUACAGGCUGCCGGGAAUACUGCAGCGCUAGGGAGUGGGAGAGGUAGACGGUACUCGGUAGGAAGGGGUAAAAUCCUUUGAUCUAUUGAUGACCACCUGUGGCGAAGGCGGUCUACCAGAACACGUCCGACGGUGAGGGAUGAAAGCUGGGGGAGCAAACCGGAUUAGAUACCCGAGUAGUCC
Molecule: ribosomal RNA, 270 nt
Filed under: uncultured archaeon
Lineage: Archaea
Description: partial 16S ribosomal RNA
Rfam family: Archaeal small subunit ribosomal RNA
Source: RNAcentral